ACAAAAAAUGAACCGGUUCUAUAUUCUGCUGUUAUUGUGACCGCUACAAACGGUUUGACGUGAAAUUUAUUCAGUUGAAGGACCUGGCACGUGUGAAUUCUUAAGAAACGAUUGGAACAACACUGGUGAUUCGUUCGUUGUCUUUUUCCAGGUGAUUAAUCGAAUUGUUUUCUUUUUUAGGCGUCGCUGAAAAUAAUUGCGAAUUGUUUUUUGCAUGGCAGAUCUGCGAAUUGAUUUUGUUUCCAUUAGCCAACACUCCAACAGCUCCUUCAAAGAUUCUGCCGUUAUCGGCAUCUGGGGAUUGAGUUUGUUUUUUUUCACUUGGCUCUUGAUGAACAAUCGCGGAUGUCUUGCUGGACGUCGGAUUGAUCGGUCGAUCCUAUCGAUCGAUAAGGUAGGUGCACUGGAUUCCUUUUAAUUGAGUUACCCACGUCCGUCUGAUUAAUUUGCGGUGAAGGAAAUUUUCCUGUCGCGCUAAUGACGACAAUCAACAGGCUCCUAUCAUCACGACAUCGGUCUGUGACUGUCCUCGGGUUGAUUGAGUAUCUGAAAUGGACAUUGUUCAACACCGGCCCGAAUUCCGGUUUCAAUGAGACACCUCCGGCGAUCGGCUCCCACUUGAAUCGUAACUUGUAGUGACGGGUGUAUACUGGUCGGUCGGUUCCUCCUAUCCUAAUCCUACCACGACGGAGGCGUCGUGGUAAAAUUUUCUAAAAGAAAAUUUGAGUAAAAUUUGUCCGCAAUUGUCCCUUUCGAAUAUGGAGUGUAUGAAAAUGAUUGUCUAAAUUCAUUUUAUGUAAAGAUGUGGAGCAUUUCGAAAAUAUUUUUGACAAACAUAAAUAGGCAAAAUUUUCAUUUAAUAGUACAGACUCGUAGCACAAUCACUAAAUGUAUCAAGUGAUGCCCACGGCUUGCCCAUCCAUCAUCUAUGAUUAGUGGAGAAAGCGAGAAAGUCAGGAGACGGAUCGCGACUAUCCCGAGACUGAAAAUUUUAAUGAGCUAAUUUUUUUUAGUUUCAUUGAUUAAUUUAUCGGAUUACUAAACAUUUUCGUCGAAUUUCUUACCUGUGAUUUGUUAUACGAAUAUUCAAAUUGUGUUGACUCUCCAGGCCAGGUCUCGAGUUGCUUUUCUAUAUGCAUUUUGCUUUACAGUUUGUAUUAGCCAUUCAUUAUUUCAUCAAUUUCAUUAGUUGUUUUCUGUAUUUCUGAAUCUCCUGUCCUUAUUGCACGGUUUUUGCUUAAUGAUAAUUAAAAAAGAAAAACUUUUAGGGUGUCGGAAGGCCCUUAAUUUCCAUGUAUAACCCUGGGUCGUAGCAAAGUCUGCAGGCAGGCGGAGGCUCCUUGUGGCCCCCUAGCAGCCUAACGCAUGGUUGGCAUGGAUCAUGGGCAUUCCCUGUUUCCACAAAAGAGUUCCUGAUAACCACAACUUCAGCUACCACAAAUCAGCUUUAUGGCCCAAUAAUAAGUGUGGGUGAAAGUGAUGUUAUGGGUGCGAGCAACAUCCUUCAAACAGUAGAUAGAGUUCAGAAAUUGGCAACCGCACUAGGAGCCUCUUGUCAUUCUUCUAUCUUGAUUAAUAUGAUCACUACUGAACGAGUCGUGUUGGUGUCCCAACCAUCUGCUUGAUGAUAUUCAAUCUAAAAUGAAAGAAAAAAGCUCGCAGUGUGGCGUGUUUCAUACAGGAUUUCACCAUCGAAGCUCAUCAGCUGUUGUUCCCUCCAUUCCGGUUCGAGUGAUUUAUUUCGUGUUACAAAGCUACCCGACAUAACGGAUUUUUCUUUCCAGCAAAAAUAAGGUUAGUUCAUUAACUUCAUUGCGUUUGAUUUCCUUAUUAAGAUUUCGCAAGUGGGCGUGUUAUUAGUCCGACUAGUUUUUUCAAGGUGAUCGUUUCUCCCCGUUUUUGUCACGUACCUGUUUCGGUAAACUUUUUUUUUUAACACGAACAAAAAACAAGUUUUUCAGUCAAAGAAUUAUUUGAUUUUAUUUUCUUCCACCAGAGUUCCACCACCGAUUUAAAUAUUUCAAAUUAGCAGCGCACAUUUUUGUUUCUUUUACUGUGAAAUUGUUUCCUCGAUGAGCCAGCCGGAAAAGUCCGAG
Long non-coding RNA from Daphnia pulex (common water flea), 2096 nucleotides. RefSeq lists it as uncharacterized. The transcript has 5 exons. The record is from RefSeq and is a predicted model, not a curated record. NCBI's taxonomy places the organism in Eukaryota, Metazoa, Arthropoda, Branchiopoda, Diplostraca, Daphniidae.